CCCUAAAAGUUUUGAAGAGUGCCAGAGGUUCUUGUCAGGACAGUUGCACUAGUGGCCAUCUGGAAAAUGGAUUUUAGUGGUCUAAAUAAGCAGCAAAAGUGUCUUGAAUUAGCAACAAGAAGCCCUGGAAAUGGAGAAACAUGAAGGCAAGACGAACUUGCCACUUGCUCUGCCUGAUGGUUCUUCAUACCUUCCUACUCCACAUUGGCUGGAAAGUGGAAGCAGUGAGCGGUGAGAACAGUUAAGGCUAAGAUGGAAUGUCCACAGGCUGAGGGAGAAAAUGGGACGAUCCUUCAAUACCUAUAUCUAAGUGUUGAGUAAGUCUCCUAGGAUCCACUCCCCUUCCAAUCUGACUGAAACCUACAAGGCCCUCUGAAGCUGCAACUUCCCAGGAGCAAUCCUGCCCAGGAUCUGACUGUCAAAAUGAGGUUUCUGGAGAUUUCCAUUCAAGAAAAGGAUGGUGUGGAGGACUCAGUUCCACUGAGGAACCUCCAAGGAGCCAUGUGAAAUACCCUUCAGAAUUCUCCCACUGAAGUCCUGGAAGGCAUUUAGCCAGUCCCUCGCUGGUUGAAGAUUUCUGAAGAAUGUUAACUUUCUCAGACAGGCUGCAUCUGCAGGUGGGCUGGAUCCUUACCUAGCUAAUUAAGGGAGCCUGCUAUGGGAUGUGAGCAAUGUGCAUGGACUAUCCUUCACCACUGCUGCACUUAGGUCAGAAAGGGAUCACAAGUGUCUGCAAAGUACACCCCUCACAUUGCUCAGGUCUAUAAAUGCCCCCCAGUAAAUCUAAUCUCUCACCGACUCUUAAAGGCUCUGGUCAGCUGCAAGCUCUUGAAAAAAAAUUUCAACAGAAAUAAACUGUAGUCUCCUGGAGCAACUAGUCUUCAGUCACAAUA
Long non-coding RNA from Marmota flaviventris (yellow-bellied marmot), 893 nucleotides. RefSeq lists it as uncharacterized. NCBI's taxonomy places the organism in Eukaryota, Metazoa, Chordata, Mammalia, Rodentia, Sciuridae. The record is from RefSeq and is a predicted model, not a curated record.